CCUCGAUCUGGGAGCAGACUUGGGUCUGGUUGCGGGGGAAAUGAGACGGUGUGGGGGGACAGUGAAUUAGUAGAAGCUCCUCCGAGAUGCGGAGGGAGAUAAAAAUAGCCCGCGGGCUGCGCUCGGAGGUCCUGGAAGCCCCAGAGCUCGCCGGCGACUGGCGUCCUAAUUUAUGGCACCCGGAGAAUCGAGCUCGGCGUGCGCCUCUCCUAGGCAGGUUGAGCUGCAGACUUGGCCUGAAUUAUUACUUGCGUGAAAUCCAAGAGCCCUCUCUUGGAGUCUGGAUUGGGACUCCUUUCCUGUAACACCAUGCUGGAAGCCAUUCUGGAAUGUUCUGGAAACAGAGUAAGCAAGGAGACAAGUGACAGAGCUGCUGCCACCACCUCCAUCAUCUCCAGCUGCCAGCCUGCCUGACUCCAUCUGCAGAGGAGAAACACGGCUGGAAGCGAGAGAGGCUGUUUUACUUUGUAUGCCCAGGUGUACCCAUGUAGCCACACUCACAAGAUGGGAAACUGGGGCCCAAGGAGGAGCAGGAUGUGUCAUGGGUCUCAUCAAGCAACUCAAUAAGGUCUCCUGGAUCCAAAGCGAUCUUCAUGUGGAGAUUUCCCAGGUUCCACCAAGCUCUGGCAGUCAAAGGUCUAUGGAAAGUUCAGGAAGGUGAGCUGCAUAUUCUUUUUAAGGUCUCUCCAGCUAAUACUGAGCCAGCAUGAGCCUGGACCACAGUUGCUAGCUUGGACCAAGGCAGCGCUUCAUAAUUUCUAGCAAAAUAAGUGUUUCCUACUUGGCAGGAGAGCAUUGCUCCACCACUCUGGGCACCUCUGGGUCUCUUUCAUUCCGCUGAGGCAUCAAGUACCUUGAGUACCCUAGCUUGGCUACUAAUAUCACCCAUCUAGACCUCAUCAGUCCCAGUCCCUGAAAAAGAAUAAAAAGAAAAGAAGACAAAAAGCAAGAAACAAGGAAUAUCAAACAAAGCACAAAAGGUUUCCCUUCUUUUACCCCAAACCGUGUCUCAAAAAUGGAUCUUAUUAAUGAAGUAUAUUUCUCUGUACUGACAUGACAGAUAAAUUAAGUGAUGAUAUAUUAAGUGAAGAAUUGGAAAAUGCCACACACUCUGCUCUAUCCACCUCCACUAUCUAAAAGUAUAUACCUAGAAAAAAAACACUGAGAAAAUAUGUCUUAGUCUGUGUCCUGCUACUGUAACAGAGUACCCCAGGCUGGGUAAUUUAUAAUGAACAGAAAUUUAUCUGGCUCAAGAUUCUGGAGGCUGGGAAGUCCAAGAUCAAGGGCCGGCAUCUUGUGAGGACCUUCUUGCUGUAUCAUAGCAUAGCAGAAGGCAUCACACAGAGAGAGAUAGAGAGAGUAAGAGAGGGCUGAACUCACUUUGAUAACAAACUCACUCUCACAUUAACAGCAUUAAUCUAUUCAUGAGGACAGAACCCUCAAGACCUAAUCAUCUCUUAAAGGUCCCAACUCUCAACUCUGUUGCAUUAAGAAUUAAAUUUCCAACACAUGAAUUUUGGGAGACACAUUCAAACCACAGCAAAGUAUUAACAAAAAAAAUGUUCCCGUUGAUGACAUCUGAGGGUAUGAUUACAGCGAAGGUUCUAUAUUGCCUAUUUCCAAAUGUUUUCAUUUAAGCAUUGCUUUUGUCAUCAGGAAUACUAGAGGGUUUGAAAAAGAAAAAGGGAUACUUUGUGUCUUGGCCAGUGUGAGAGGCCAGGAGGGCUGUAAGGAAGAGAUCUGGAGCAGGACAUUGGCCAGAGAGACCACCUGUCUGGGCUGGGGAAAUUCCAACCUUUGGACCAGAACUAAGUCUCCUGAAGCAGAAGGGAAAACUGAGUGAUAUUACAGAAUCCUGAGUCAUCUCUAUUCUUAAAGGAGUAUGUAUGUUUCUGAAUUCCUAACUUGAUGUUGUCGCUGGAAGCACACAUAAGGAACAGGUGCUACCCUUUCCCUCUAGAAAGGAGAGCCAGGUGGCCAGGGAGGGAGAGAGGUAGCAGUUUCACUUAUACUUUUUUGGUAGCUUUUGAGUUAUAAACCAUGCAAAGGUAUUACCUACUCUAAAAAUAAAUAAACUGUAAACAUGAGAAUAAAGUACUUUCAAAAUAGCACUGCUAAACCAGUGUUCAAAAUGCGAAGCAUAUAUGCAGCUGCAUGGAUAAACAGAGCCACUUGAAAACAGUGAAUUAAUUUUAAAAGGCUCACUAAGAAACAUUUGGAAAAUACAGAAAAAGAUUUAACAGUAUGCGUGUUUUGCUUAGUCUCAUCACUCAAAGAACACCAACAUUAAUAUGAUAGCUUAUUUCUUUCCAGCUUGUUUUCUGUAUUGGGGAGUUUUGCAUUGCUUUUGUUGGGGUCUGGAUCACUCUGCACUUAAAUUGUAUAAAUCACUUCUUAAAGAUCUAAGCAUGGAUAAAAGCUUACA
Callithrix jacchus (white-tufted-ear marmoset) is the source of this 2425-nucleotide long non-coding RNA. RefSeq lists it as uncharacterized. The record is from RefSeq and is a predicted model, not a curated record. NCBI's taxonomy places the organism in Eukaryota, Metazoa, Chordata, Mammalia, Primates, Cebidae.